AUGACCUCUCCAGGAGGGGAGGCCGGGAGGCGGGACAGCCGGCAGCGGCGCCAUUCUGUUCGGGGAUGCUUGGAUCUGGUGAUGCUGGAGCAUGGGAACGGGAAACAUCACUUCAGCUACGGAAUUUCAAAUAGCCAAUUUACCUUUCUCCCUAAAGAUUUCUUACACUGCUGUCAGUAUCAUUGGUCUUGGGGUCUAGAUUUUGUCAAUAUCAAAAUCUGGGUACUUACCAGCAAACGAGUUGUUGAUCUAUUUACUCAGUCAAGUUCAUUUCUGCUAUGUUCUUCAGUCAAGCUUUAG
RNAcentral lists this ribosomal RNA (300 nucleotides) under Triticum aestivum (bread wheat). RNAcentral describes it as "partial small subunit ribosomal RNA". The record is from RNAcentral. Lineage: Eukaryota; Viridiplantae; Streptophyta; Magnoliopsida; Poales; Poaceae.